AUUGAACGCUGGCGGCAGGCCUAACACAUGCAAGUCGGACGGUAGCACAGAGGAGCUUGCUCCUCGGGUGACGAGUGGCGGACGGGUGAGUAAUGUCUGGGGAUCUGCCCGAUAGAGGGGGAUAACCACUGGAAACGGUGGCUAAUACCGCAUAACGUCGCAAGACCAAAGAGGGGGACCUUCGGGCCUCUCACUAUCGGAUGAACCCAGAUGGGAUUAGCUAGUAGGCGGGGUAACGGCCCACCUAGGCGACGAUCCCUAGCUGGUCUGAGAGGAUGACCGGCCACACUGGAACUGAGACACGGUCCAGACUCCUACGGGAGGCAGCAGUGGGGAAUAUUGCACAAUGGGCGCAAGCCUGAUGCAGCCAUGCCGCGUGUAUGAAGAAGGCCUUCGGGUUGUAAAGUACUUUCAGCGGGGAGGAAGGCGAUGUGGUUAAUAACCGCAUUGAUUGACGUUACCCGCAGAAGAAGCACCGGCUAACUCCGUGCCAGCCGCCGCCGUAA
RNAcentral lists this ribosomal RNA (506 nucleotides) under uncultured bacterium. RNAcentral describes it as "partial 16S ribosomal RNA". It matches the Rfam family "Bacterial small subunit ribosomal RNA", at positions 29 to 523 of the family's 1533-position model. The record is from RNAcentral.